GCAGACACAUUCCAGCCAAUCAGCAGCAGACCCUCCCUCCCAGGCCCUCCCACCUCCUGGACAGCAUCCAUUGUGAAGCUGCAUUCUUAGUGAGCUGUCCAGGAGGUGGGAGAGUCUGGGAGGGAGGGUCUGCUGCUGAUUGGCUGGAAUGUGUCUG
Pelobates cultripes (western spadefoot toad) is the source of this 157-nucleotide non-coding RNA. Lineage: Eukaryota; Metazoa; Chordata; Amphibia; Anura; Pelobatidae. The record is from the annotation of a GenBank genome assembly.